CUUACAGGAGAUGGUGACCUACGAUGAGGGGAUGGUGACUUACGACGAAAGGAUGGCAACCUACGACGAGGGGGGGAAGGUGAUCGUCGUCGCAUAGGAGACAGUGAUCGUCGUGGGAUAGGAGACGGUGAUCUACGUCUCACAGGUGGUGAUCUGCGUCGCACAGGUGGUGAUCUGCGUCGCACAGGUGAACGGGACCUGUAUUGCACUGGUGAUCUUCGUAUUGGUGUCCUUGACCUACGCCACACGGGAGAUCUUGAUCUACG
RNAcentral lists this long non-coding RNA (266 nucleotides) under Olea europaea (common olive). RNAcentral's name for it is "long non-coding RNA (OEUR_LNC007727)". Lineage: Eukaryota; Viridiplantae; Streptophyta; Magnoliopsida; Lamiales; Oleaceae. The record is from RNAcentral.